UAAAAUUAGUAAACAAUACAACAUAAUUAAUUUAAAUAUUAAUUAAAACAUUAUUAGAUUUAGUAAAGGUGAUUAAAAAUUUAUUAUAUUGUUUAAAAAAGUACUGUGAGGGAAAAUAAUUAAAUUGUAUGUAUAAAAAAAUAAACUUUUGUACCUUUUGCAUCAUGGUUUAACUAGAUUAAAAUUCUAAAAGAGAAGUUCUCGAAAUCUAAUGAGCUAUCUUUAACCUUCGUAAUAGAGUUAAAAGAGUAAUUGUAGCAGAAAUUUUCUUAGAGUUAAAGAUAGAAAUGAAAUUUUAUUCGCAUUAGAUGAUAGCUAGUUUUCCCCGAAAAACAUAGAAGUGUGUAAGACUAAUAAAAUAAUUAGCAAUUUAAAUGGUUAGUUUAUAUUUUAGUCUAAUCAUAUUUUUGAGGAUAAGCUCAAAAAUUUUUUAUAUUUCUGCGUUUAAUUUUAUAUUUAAACUUAAUCUUGAAAAUAGCUAUUGUUAAAGAAUUUGUUAUAAUUUCAUUACUAAGAAAGAAAUAGAAUUAAUUUGCUAAAAACAUAGGGGAAUUAUUUCAUAAAUUUUGAAAUGAAUUAUAUAUCUGUUAAAAUUAGUAUUAAAAUCAAUUUAAAAAAUAAAAUUAUAUAAUCUUAAAACAUAAAUUUAAAUUUCAAUAUAAAAUUAUAAAAAGGAACUCGGCAAAAGACAUUCUGCCUGUUUAUCAAAAACAUGGCUUCAUGAAAUCUUAAUAAAUAUAUAAUAAAUAUAUAUUUUUAUAUACAUAUAUGAAGUCGGGCCUGCCCAGUGAGUUUAUUCAACGGCCGCGGUACCCUGACCGUGCAAAGGUAGCAUAAUACUUGCCUUAUAAUUGAAGGCUGGAAUGAAUGGUUUGACAAGAGUGUAGCUGUCUCAUUAUAAUUUAAUAGAAUUUUAUUUUAGGAUGAAAAAGUCCUAGUUUAAUUAAAAGACAAGAAGACCCUAUCGAGCUUGAAAUUAAUUAGUAAAAAAUUAAUACUUAAAAAAUUAGUUAUUAAAAAUUUUGGUUGGGGCAACUAAGGAGCAAAAAAAGCCUCUUUUCUAAAGUUAA
Molecule: ribosomal RNA, 1070 nt
Filed under: Conasprella ximenes
Lineage: Eukaryota; Metazoa; Mollusca; Gastropoda; Neogastropoda; Conidae
Description: 16S ribosomal RNA
Source: RNAcentral